GUAGUCUCGCACAGAUGCAUAUUAAUAAGCGGAGGAAAAGAAACUAACAAGGGUUCCCCUAGUAACGGCGAGUGAAGCGGGAAGAGCUCAAAUUUGAAAUCUUAAAGGGUUUCCCUUUACGAAUUGUAGUUUAAAGAAGUGUUUUCUGUUGAGGUUUUGGUAAAAGUUCUUUGGAAUAGGGCAUCAUAGAGGGUGAGAAUCCCGUAUUUGACCUUUACUUUCAACUUUGUGUUACACUUUCAAAGAGUCGGAUUGUUUGGGAAUGCAGUCCAAAAUGGGUGGUAAAUUUCAUCUAAAGCUAAAUAUUGGCGAGAGACCGAUAGCGAACAAGUACCGUGAGGGAAAGAUGAAAAGAACUUUGAAAAGAGAGUUAAACAGUACGUGAAAUUGUCAAAAGGGAAGCGUUUGACACCAGUGUUGUUUUUCUGAAAAUCAAUUAAAGAACUGUUUAUGCUAAGCUGUUUAGACUUUAUCAGCUAACUGUUUAGUUUUGAGCUUUUCUUUAAUGCACUUUUCAGUUAACAAGUCAACAUCAAUUUCUUUUGCUGUAAAAAAGCUUGUGGAAGGUGGCUUGAGAUUCGUCUUAAGUGUUUAUAGCCUCUUGCCUAUGCAGUCGGAGAGAUUGAGGUCUGCAGCGUAGAUCCUUCGGGGCUAAAUGCAUUUGUGCUAAGUUAUAGCAUUUUAUAGACAACUUGUUGACUAUGAUUUGUCUUGUAGCUUACUCGCUUAUGUUAUUUUACCUACGCUUAGGAUGUUGAGUAGCGACAUACGCAC
This 774-nucleotide ribosomal RNA is filed under the name uncultured Neocallimastigales. RNAcentral's name for it is "partial large subunit ribosomal RNA". It matches the Rfam family "Eukaryotic large subunit ribosomal RNA", at positions 24 to 649 of the family's 3401-position model. The record is from RNAcentral. Lineage: Eukaryota; Fungi; Neocallimastigomycota; Neocallimastigomycetes; Neocallimastigales.